CUACGGGGGGCUGCAGUGGGGAAUAUUGCACAAUGGAGGAAACUCUGAUGCAGCAACGCCGCGUGGAGGAUGACACUUUUCGGAGCGUAAACUCCUUUUAUAUAGGAAGAAGAUGACGGUACUAUAUGAAUAAGCGCCGGCUAACUCCGUGCCAGCAGCCGCGGUAAUACGGAGGGCGCAAGCGUUACUCGGAAUCACUGGGCGUAAAGAGCGUGUAGGCGGAUUAAAAAGUCAGAAGUGAAGUCCUAUAGCUUAACUAUAGAACUGCUUCUGAAACUCUUAAUCUAGAAUAUGGGAGAGGUAGAUGGAAUUUCUGGUGUAGGGAUAAAAUCCGUAGAGAUCAGAAGGAAUACCGAUUGCGAAGGCGAUCUACUAGAACAUUAUUGACGCUGAGACGCGAAAGCGUGGGGAGCAAACGGGAUUAGAUACCCUCGUAGUC
RNAcentral lists this ribosomal RNA (439 nucleotides) under uncultured bacterium. RNAcentral describes it as "partial 16S ribosomal RNA". It matches the Rfam family "Bacterial small subunit ribosomal RNA", at positions 339 to 795 of the family's 1533-position model. The record is from RNAcentral.